CCCACUGUGUCACAGCAAGACAUUCUGAACUUUAUGAUGGUAAUCCAUCCUGAAAAGGACUGUACUGUACACAGCUAUAAAACCCACGGGAGACAAAUAGACUGAACAUACUGUACACAGCUAUAAAACCCACGGGAGACAAAUAGACUGAACAUACUGUACACAGCUAUAAAACCCACGGGAGACAAAUAGACUGAACAUACUGUACACAGCUAUAAAACCCACGGGAGACAAAUAGACUGAACAUACUGUACACAGCUAUAAAACCCACGGGAGAUGAGUGGUUGUAGCUAACUAGAAAUUCACCAUACAACAACACAUAACAUACUGUCUUUCAUUUAGUAAUUCACCGUGAUGUCAUGUAAUGUCUGCAUUGAUGUGUGUGUGUGUUUGCAUGAUGUGUGUGUGUGUGUUUGCAUGAUGUGUGUGUGUGCCUGAUGUGUGUGUGUGUGUGUGCCUGAUGUGUGUGUGCAUGAUGUGUGUGUGUGUGUGUGCGCCUGAUGUGUGUGUGUGUGCCUGAUGUGUGUGUGCAUAAUGUGUGUGUGUGUGUGUGCAUGAUGUGUGUGUGUGUAGUAUUCCCGGUGACUGUCCUCCUCCGAGUAGUAUUUUGGGGCGAAGCUACAGGGAGAGGCAGGGCCUGAGGGUGAGUGACAGCCGACCUGGCCAUAGGGAGACACCAUUGAAUACUGAUGUUGGUACGUUCAGUGGGCUGCGUAUCGGAGAAGUACAGUCUGUCAGAGAGCUGUCCAGACCAGAGUUCGUCAUACACCCUCACCGCUACUUCAACCAUAGCGCCAAAACCAGCCCAAUAUUCACACCCCUACCUGCCAACACUGAGGACUACCUUCAGGAUGUUCUUCCCUCUCUGUGCCCUCCUGCAGUGGUGAAGGCUGCCUUUGACCAGCGGAGUCUGUUCCCUAAAGAGCUUCUGGAUGAGGAGGACAGGCCUAGCCAUGGAGCCAGGAAACAGGGGAGCAGGGAGAACCGGAUCAACGACAGGGGGCGUGGGAGGAAGGACAGACAAAGAAAGGGUAGUUCCUCUGGAGCCUUCAAGUGAAGACGUCAUUUAUAUUGUUAUCUACUUUAUCACGUUUCAAUAUAACUUAAAUGUCUGUCAAAUUAAAUCUGAUCAAUCAAGACACGUGUGUUUAUGUCUCUCUGCUUCCCCUCAUGAGAAAGUACUACUAAAUUACUACUACAUUACUACUACAUUACUACUACAGUACUACUACAGUACUACUACAUUACUACUACAUUACUACUACAGUACUACUAAAUUACUACUACAUUACUACUACAUUACUACUAAAUUACUACUACAGUACUACUACAUUACUACUACAUUACUACUACAAUACUACUACAGUACUACUAAAUUACUACUACAUUAUUACUACAGUACUACUAAAUUACUACUACAUUAUUACUACAUUAUUACUACUACAGUACUACUAAAUUACUACUGCAUUACUACAUUAUUACUACUACAUUACUACUAAAUUACUACUACUUGAUUGCUAUUGAGAUGUGUAGUAAACCAGUAUUGAUUUAUGUAGUAAUUAGUGAUACAUUGGGAUGUUUCACUACUUGUGAGCACUUGAUAUUUCCUACUCAAUUCUGGCGUGUUCACUAUCGAAUUACAACCAAAUGCCUAUAUAUUUCUACUGUAUCACUACUGCCAUUUACCUGUGUAGUGUCAGUACUGAUCACUACUGCCAUUUACCUGUGUCGUGUCAG
This is a long non-coding RNA of Oncorhynchus tshawytscha (Chinook salmon), 1737 nucleotides long. The record is from Ensembl. NCBI's taxonomy places the organism in Eukaryota, Metazoa, Chordata, Actinopteri, Salmoniformes, Salmonidae.